CAGAUAUCAAGCUUAAGGAAGUCAGCUACAUAUACUUUUUGAUGGCAGAUAGCUGAUUAGUUUACAACUAUCCAUGUGAAGUGGAGUGGUACUAGGUAUCUUGAUAUGCCACUAAUUUUGAGAUACCACGCUUAAGGAAGUCAACUACUUAUACCUUUUGAUUGCAGAUAUCACUCUUAAGGAAGUCAGCUACUUAUACCUUUUGAUGGCAGGAACGGCGCUUACAUGUACGAGAGCUGAAUAACAGAACUAUCACGAAAAGAAAACGAACAAGAAAUGUUUUAGAAACAUACAGUAUACAUGAACCAAUAAAUAUAUUAUAUAUUUUAUGUAUUAUUUAUAUUUGUAUCAAUGUUGGUAGAAUUUCGUGAGAUCAAUAAUUUUCCAUAUCAUUGGUUUGCUUGUUUGAUUUGAACGUAUUUUAUUGCAGUGGCGGAUUUAGAGGGGGGCGCAGCCGCCCCCCCCCCCCCCAAUUUUCAAAUUUAAGGUAAAUCACGGUAUCUUGUUUCGGAAAAUGUACUAAACGAUAAAAGAAAUAAUUUCUUUCACUCCCGGAGAAAUAAAUGACAAAAUCUUUUGAUUUCUUUAAUUACUUUAUUGGGAGAACUUAAUUUUUUCCAAAAAACCCUUAAAAUUUGGGUCAUUUUAUUAUUUUCACCUUAUUAAAAUGAUAGAAAAUAGUACAAAUGACUAAAAUAGGAGAAAUAUUUCAAGCCCCAUAAAAUCUGUAAAAUCCAGUAGCUUCCGGGGGCUUCGCCCCAUGGACCCCCACCAGGGCUUCGUCCUGGACCCACUGCCUCAUAAAGUGGCGCCCCCCGUAACCGCAAAUUUCUGGAUCCGCCCCUGUAUUGUGUACGACUUACGAGUUCUUCUCCUUAUAAUCUAAUACAUAUUACAACACACAAUUGUCAUUAAAGAUAAUAUAUACAGAGAAUACAUAAAUGGUAAGUGUUCUAUAGAUAAACAAUGGAAAAUGACAUGAUCAACAGCCAAAUCUUUUGGUUUCAUGAAUAUACGUCUGAACAUUAGAGAAAAUACAAUUAUUCAAUUCCGUAAAUAGGACACUAUCACCCCAAAAGUAAAAGAUUUGUAUCAAUAAUAAUCAAAACAUUAAAUCUUAGCAAUCUAUCCAUUAAUUUGUAUCUAGCGAUAACAUAUUUCUUACAAAUAAAGAAAAAGUGAUGUGCGUCUUCACGCAUGCCACAGGAACAUAAUGGAGAAUCAACAAUAUUGCGUCUAUAAAGAUCAUAAUUCAAAACACAGGUGUGUCUCAGUUUGGUAUGAAUUAUAUUCAACAGACGAGAAAAAUAUGAAAAGUAUACAUGGGGUUUGGGAUUUCUGAAUUAGGACGGACACCUCUACAUGUGCUAAGAAAGUAUAGAAUAUUGAAAUAUUGGUUAAAACUGAAGACAAAUAAUUGUAUUUUAAAGAGUAUUUAUCAGGAAAUGUUAGAUGUUUGUGACUCAAAUUCUUAUACUUGUUGGUUGACAUAUGUAAGAAAUUUAUUAUAUUCUUUAGGAUUUGGAUAUGUAUGGAAUUGUACUUAUGAUAUAAAUGAAAACAAAUUUUUAUCUGAAGUAAAACAAAGACUACAAGAUGUGUUUAUACAAGAAAUUUAUAGUGUUUUUGAGACGUCACCAAAAUGUAACUUAUAUAAAUAUGUCAAUGAAGGAUUUAAAUUACAAUUGUAUCUUACAAAAUCUGUUCCAAGUAUGUAUGUUCAAAAUAUUAGUAAAUACUGACUAUCCUCACAUAGAUUAGAAAUUGAACAAGGUCAGGGUUUGACAUUUAUAUUUUUGAGCACUAGACCAGUCGGGCUACUUCAAAUGAUUUUUACUAGACCUGACUUUAUAUCCACUAGCCCUGACCAACUUUCCAGAAAAAAACUUAUAGUUUCUCCAUAUUUUAAUACUCCAUGGAAAUGACAAACGUUAAGUUUGAACCAAAACGUAUUAAAUUGUCUCAAAAAUACCUCAGGUCUCGUCAUUCAAUUUGAUUUUCAAAUACGUUUUCUGUUUCUUUAAAUUCUACCUGGCACGGAUAUUCUUUAGUCUAUUCAGUAUAAAAUGACCUCAACCGGCUUUUUCUUUAAUUUAUAUUUCAUAAGCUCUGCUAAGCUUUGUUUCUUUCCAACCUUGUCGUAUUUAAAUAUAGAGACAUUCCCGCACAUAUGUCAACACCGAUAAAUAGCUGUUUACGAUGUAGUUUAUUAACUUGAUAAACACUUUUAUUAUAGUCAAUUCAAAUAAACUGUUUAAAAUGAACAUCGAGUAGAUGUCGUAAAACAUCACUUCCGACCGCGACUUAUUUAUUAGAACUAAAAAUAGAGAUUAUCCCAUCACACGGUUCAAGAUUGCUUGCAAACUCUUUACAGUUAAAAAUGAAAUAUCUUACGGUUUAAAGUAAAGUUCCUUGUUUAUUUUUUUAACACGACCAGUCGGACUAGUAAAUCGACAUUUUACCUGACCGGACCGAUCAUCUAGUAGACUCGGUCGGUCGGACGUGCCUUAGUGUCAAACCCUGAAGGUAGAUUUAGCAAUAUUCCAAGAAAAGAAAGAAAAUGUAAAUAAUGUUCAGAGAGUAUUGAAGAUGAAUAUCAUUUUAUAUUAGUAUGUCCUUUUUAUAAUGAUUGUAGAAAACAGUAUUUAAAGAAAUAUUAUUAUAAACACCCCUCCACUUUCAAGCUUAUCCAACUAUUAUCAACUGGAAAUAUUACGGAAUUAUGUAAACUUGGUAAAUACCUAUAUAAAUGUUCAUCUUAUAGAUCUCAGUUAUUAUAAGAUUAUCCUCAGUAUCUAUCCUGUCCAUGUACAUCAGUAUGAUAUAUUAUGUUUUGUUAUCAUUUCAUUGUAUAAGUUGUUGUAUAUACUUUAUACCUAUGACCUGUAUGGUUCUUGAUCAAUAAACAAUACAAUACAAUACGAGUUAACGCUUUUACGAAACUGUUUAAUUGGUUUGCUUACAAGAUACAACCACAAAAAAAACAAACAAAAAAAAACCACGUGCUCA
Ostrea edulis (European flat oyster) is the source of this 3009-nucleotide long non-coding RNA. RefSeq lists it as uncharacterized. The record is from RefSeq and is a predicted model, not a curated record. The transcript is spliced from 4 exons. NCBI's taxonomy places the organism in Eukaryota, Metazoa, Mollusca, Bivalvia, Ostreida, Ostreidae.